This is a long non-coding RNA of Gavialis gangeticus (Gharial), 1036 nucleotides long. RefSeq lists it as uncharacterized. NCBI's taxonomy places the organism in Eukaryota, Metazoa, Chordata, Crocodylia, Gavialidae. The record is from RefSeq and is a predicted model, not a curated record. The transcript is spliced from 5 exons.
CUAGUGUUCUGAAUUGGUCGUUGUUUUAACGUGUGCUGCUUAGACCGGUCCCAUUUGUCCAUUUUGUUAUCUACCAAAUAGGACGACUUUAUAAAAAUCAAAUGAAAACUAGGGGCUUUGGUCAAAGGAAAUUAGAUUAGAAUCAUAGAAAAGCAGAGCUGGAAAGGACGUCAGGAGUUCAUCUAGUCCAAGCCUCUGCUCAGGUAGGAGGGGAACUAGACUGAUACCUAAAAAGAAACUGUCUUGCAAUUUCCUCCCAAAAAAUCACUAGAUCACUAUGCUGCUUUGUUAUCUGUCGAGCAGAACUGGAAUGUAAACACAACCCGUGCCUCCACUCUACCAUUGCUGGGCCUGCAGACCAACAAAACAGAGCAUACUAUAGGGAAGAGAGAAGAAGGUGGAUCCAAUCACAAAGAUACAAUUUGGAAUGUGGAAGACCUUGGGCAAGCUACGUAGGGCCAGAUCCUGCUCCACCUAUGAAUCACUGAAGUGUAAGUAGAUGCCUAUGUCUGAUCCUAUUUCACCCUGCUCAAACCCCUGAAAAACCACUAAUGCAUGUACUUCUGUAAUGGGUCAUUAUCUUAGUUUUAGCCUUAAAGCUACCUCACGGUAAGCAGGAGUUUUUCAGGCACUUGAGCAAGGUGGAAUUAGAUUACAUUUAAGUGCUGAAGUAUACUUAAGUGCCUAAUAGAUGGUCUCUCUCUGUCUCAGUUCCUUGUUUGUAAAAUAAGGACAGUUAGGUGGUAUAGACAAUAUGAAACUAAGGCACUUGCAUACUAUGGAAAUGAGGUCUGUAUCAAUACCUUAAAGAGAGAAAAGAAUCCAUACCACUGCAAAACCUAUGGACUGAGGUAUCUGGGAGUCCACUGCAUUGAUUUCAAUAUCAGCUUUUAUAUCAUGGUAGAGAUGGGCAAAUACAGUUUUGCACAAAACGCAUCUAACAAGCAAAAAUGUCUCUGUAGUGUGAAUGUCAGCCAACUAAUGACAUAGAUGGUUGUAGGCUGUAAGAGUCAAUUGGACAUUUAUGUUGCUAGGA